GACGAACGCUGGCGGCGUGCUUAACACAUGCAAGUCGAACGGGCCUUGUCCCCUUUUUUUUUGGGGGUGGGGUUAGUGGCGAACGGGUGAGUAACACGUGAGUAACCUGCCCCUCACUUCUGGAUAACCGCUUGAAAGGGUGGCUAAUACGGGGUGUUCUGGCCUGCUCGCAUGGGUGGGUUUGGAAAGAUUCGACCGGUUUUGGUUGUUUUGGUGGGGGAGGGGCUCGCGGCCUAUCAGCUUGUUGGUGGGGUGAUGGCCUGCCAAGGCUUUGACGGGUAGCCGGCCUGAGAGGGUGGGCGGUCACACUGGGACUGAGACACGGCCCAGACUCCUACGGGAGGCAGCAGUGGGGAAUAUUGCACAAUGGGCGCAAGCCUGAUGCAGCGACGCCGCGUGAGGGAUGGAGGCCUUCGGGUUGUGAACCUCUUUCGCCAGUGAAGAAGGUCCUGCUCUUUGUGGUGGGGUUGACGGUAGCUGGGUUAAUGAAGCGCCGGCUAACUACGUG
Molecule: ribosomal RNA, 508 nt
Filed under: uncultured bacterium
Lineage: Bacteria
Description: partial 16S ribosomal RNA
Rfam family: Bacterial small subunit ribosomal RNA
Source: RNAcentral